Molecule: transfer RNA, 70 nt
Filed under: Neotoma lepida (desert woodrat)
Lineage: Eukaryota; Metazoa; Chordata; Mammalia; Rodentia; Cricetidae
Rfam family: tRNA
About the family: Transfer RNA (tRNA) molecules are approximately 80 nucleotides in length. Their secondary structure includes four short double-helical elements and three loops (D, anti-codon, and T loops).
Source: Rfam by way of RNAcentral
UGGGGUUUAGUUCAGUGGUAGAGCAUUUGCUUAUCACAAAGAGAUCUGGGUUCAAACCCCAGCACCUCCA